GUGCUUGCUUCAGCAGCACAUAUACUGAAAUUGAAAAGAUAUAGAAAAGAUAAGCAUAUCCCCUGCACAAGGAUGACAUGCAAUAUCGUGAAGCAUUCCAUAAAAAU
Small nuclear RNA from Phyllostomus discolor (pale spear-nosed bat), 107 nucleotides. NCBI's taxonomy places the organism in Eukaryota, Metazoa, Chordata, Mammalia, Chiroptera, Phyllostomidae. The record is from RefSeq and is a predicted model, not a curated record.